GUAAAUGCGUUUGAGAAAAAAGUAGUAGAUAAUUAACUUGGUCAGCGAAUCUGUGGUUGGUGUGAACAGAGAAGGUCAAUUAUUCGAAUUCAUUUUUCGAGCUGAAAUUGGGAGUUAUUUAUAACGAAAAAUUUUCCGGUAAUCACCGUUAACGAUUCUAAGUGUGUCAUUUCUUAAGAUGGCAAAUUAGGGUGGUACCGCGUUGCUUCGUCCCUUUG
This 218-nucleotide non-coding RNA is filed under the name Lentilactobacillus diolivorans. Its description in RNAcentral is "Lactobacillus diolivorans T-box sequence". It matches the Rfam family "T-box leader". From Rfam's summary of the family: Uncharged tRNA acts as the effector for transcription antitermination of genes in the T-box leader family. T-boxes are found upstream of many aminoacyl-tRNA synthetase genes and some amino acid biosynthetic genes usually in Gram-positive bacteria. The record is from RNAcentral. Lineage: Bacteria; Bacillati; Bacillota; Bacilli; Lactobacillales; Lactobacillaceae.